UACGUAGGGUGCGAGCGUUAAUCGGAAUUACUGGGCGUAAAGCGUGCGCAGGCGGUUCGUUGUGUCGGUGGUGAAAGCCCCGGGCUUAACCUGGGAAUGGCCAUGGAAACUGGCGAACUGGAGUGUGGCAGAGGGGGGUGGAAUUCCGCGUGUAGCAGUGAAAUGCGUAGAGAUGCGGAGGAACACCGAUGGCGAAGGCAGCCCCCUGGGUCGAUACUGACGCUCAUGCACGAAAGCGUGGGUAGCAAACAGG
Molecule: ribosomal RNA, 253 nt
Filed under: uncultured bacterium
Lineage: Bacteria
Description: partial 16S ribosomal RNA
Rfam family: Bacterial small subunit ribosomal RNA
Source: RNAcentral